UUUUCAUUACAUUUUGCUCUAAUGUGAUGAAAUUCUAAUUCUCUCCUUACCAUAUGGUUAAAUUUCCCCACUGAGAAUUAGUUGAAAAAGGAGAAAUAAUCUAUUAAUCUCUGUAAUAGAUUCACAAAUGAGCUUUGCCACAGAACCUGUUUUUGAAUGGUAAUAUGGGAACAGUUGGGUGCCUUGUUUCAGGGAAGAAAGGAGCAGGCGACAACAGCAAACGUUUGAAUUUUCACCUGGAAAGAAUGAAAAGGAGCCAAGCUGCGGAUCUCCGACGCCGACUUAUGAAAAUCACGCGGUCGCUUGAGGAUGACGGACGCCGUUACUCCGAUUUGACGGCUAAGGGGAACGUUUCACUGCUGGCAGCUCCGAAGACAGAGCUCUCCGGAUCCAUCCCUCCUCACUCGUCGCUUUCACUGCCCCUCCCUCCCUUCUGCCUGACCCUUCGGGGCCCGCGCCGUCGGGCCGAGGGCACUCCCGGCCUCCUCCUCUCCGCUCUCCCCCAGCGCAAUGAAAACACAUCUGCCCAGCUCCUCGUUACCUGCUUUAAUUGCACCGUGGCCCUCUGCCAUUGGUUGCGCGUUAUUUCGGGGCAGGAGCGGCCCGCAACCGCAGGAGGGAGCGCGGCCCGGCCCGCAGAGAGCAGUCCGACCGCGUUCCCUCUCCGCCCGCAGCC
RNAcentral lists this long non-coding RNA (676 nucleotides) under Gallus gallus (chicken). Its description in RNAcentral is "lncRNA (ENSGALG00010004709.1)". The record is from RNAcentral. Lineage: Eukaryota; Metazoa; Chordata; Aves; Galliformes; Phasianidae.